Molecule: ribosomal RNA, 195 nt
Filed under: uncultured bacterium
Lineage: Bacteria
Description: partial 16S ribosomal RNA
Rfam family: Bacterial small subunit ribosomal RNA
Source: RNAcentral
GGACCCAAUCUCAAAAAGGCAUGUCAGUUCGGAUUGCAUUCUGCAACUCGAGCGCAUGAAGUAGAAAUCGCUAGUAAUCGAGGAUCAGCAUGCCUCGGUGAAUACGUUCCCGGGGCCUUGUACACACCGCCCGUGGGGCGGGGGCGGCGGGCCGGGCGCGGGGCGCGCCGGGCGAAGGGCGAAUUCGCGGCCGCU